This 72-nucleotide transfer RNA is filed under the name Camelus bactrianus (Bactrian camel). It matches the Rfam family "tRNA". From Rfam's summary of the family: Transfer RNA (tRNA) molecules are approximately 80 nucleotides in length. Their secondary structure includes four short double-helical elements and three loops (D, anti-codon, and T loops). Further hydrogen bonds mediate the characteristic L-shaped molecular structure. tRNAs have two regions of fundamental functional importance: the anti-codon, which is responsible for specific mRNA codon recognition, and the 3' end, to which the tRNAs corresponding amino acid is attached (by aminoacyl-tRNA synthetases). tRNAs cope with the degeneracy of the genetic code in two manners: having more than one tRNA (with a specific anti-codon) for a particular amino acid; and 'wobble' base-pairing, i.e. permitting non-standard base-pairing at the 3rd anti-codon position. Lineage: Eukaryota; Metazoa; Chordata; Mammalia; Artiodactyla; Camelidae. The record is from Rfam by way of RNAcentral. RNAcentral also lists the same sequence under 2 other names.
UGGGGAAUAGCUCGGUGGUAGAGCACAUGCAUAGCAUGCAGGAGGUCCUGGGUUCAGUCCCUAGUGCCUCCA